Molecule: ribosomal RNA, 253 nt
Filed under: uncultured bacterium
Lineage: Bacteria
Description: partial 16S ribosomal RNA
Rfam family: Bacterial small subunit ribosomal RNA
Source: RNAcentral
CACGUAGGGCGCAAGCGUUGUCCGGAAUUAUUGGGCGUAAAGAGCUCGUAGGCGGUCUGUUGCGUCCGCUGUGAAAACUCGGGGCUUAACCCCGAGCCUGCAGUGGAUACGGGCAGACUAGAGGUAGGUAGGGGAGAAUGGAAUUCCCGGUGUAGCGGUGAAAUGCGCAGAUAUCGGGAGGAACACCGGUGGCGAAGGCGGUUCUCUGGGCCGUACCUGACGCUGAGGAGCGAAAGCGUGGGGAGCGAACAGG